RNAcentral lists this ribosomal RNA (495 nucleotides) under Amblyomma mixtum. RNAcentral describes it as "partial small subunit ribosomal RNA". The record is from RNAcentral. Lineage: Eukaryota; Metazoa; Arthropoda; Arachnida; Ixodida; Ixodidae.
AGCGGUUAAACAAAAGAAUUUAUUUUUUAGGCUAAAAAUUUAAAAUAAAAGUAAAUAAUAUUUUUUUUUUCAAAAAGGUGAAAUUUUUGAAAAAGAUUAUUAAAAGUUUAAAUAAAAAUUUCCUAAAAUAAACUAGGAUUAGAUACCCUAUUAUUAGAAAUAAUAUAUUGUUAGUAUAUAAAACUUACGAAAACAAAAAAUUAUGGCGGUAUCUUAAGCUUUUCAGAGGAAUUUGCUCUUUAAUGGAUAAAACACCCAAAUCUUACUAAAGUUGGUAAAGACAGCUUGUAUACCACUAUUAAAGCAAUUAUUAAUUAUAAUUGCUGUAAAUUUUAUACAAAAAAUAAGUUAAGUCAAGGUGCAGCUUAAACUUUAGGAUGAAGUGAAUUACAAUUCUCUUUAGACAAUUAUUUUUUUCUUAAAAAUAAAAAAAUUAGGAUUUGAAAGUAAAAAUUUUAAUAGAAUGAUUAUUUGAAUUAAGCUCUGAGAUAUGUA